UCCCUGGUGGUCUAAUGGUUAGGACUCAGUGCUUUCACUGCUGGGGCCCAGGUUCAAUCCCUGGUCUGGGAA
RNAcentral lists this transfer RNA (72 nucleotides) under Sus scrofa (pig). Its description in RNAcentral is "tRNA-Glu (TTC) (tRNA-Glu-TTC-29-1)". It matches the Rfam family "tRNA". From Rfam's summary of the family: Transfer RNA (tRNA) molecules are approximately 80 nucleotides in length. Their secondary structure includes four short double-helical elements and three loops (D, anti-codon, and T loops). Lineage: Eukaryota; Metazoa; Chordata; Mammalia; Artiodactyla; Suidae. The record is from Rfam by way of RNAcentral.